CCAAUAGCGUAUAUUAAAGUUGUUGCAGUUAAAAAGCUCGUAGUUGAAUUUCGGGGUUAGCAGGUCGGUCGUGCCACCGGUAUGAACUGGCCUCGCUGAUCCCUACCUCUUGACGAACUGUGAUGCCAUUAAUUUGGUGUCGCAGGGAAUCAGGACUGUUACUUUGAAAAAAUUAGAGUGUUUAAAGCAGGCUCACGCUUGAAUACAUUAGCAUGGAAUAAUGAAAUAGGACGUUUGAUCCUAUUUUGUUGGUUUCUAGGAUUGACGUAAUGAUUAAUAGGGAUAGUUGGGGGCAUUAGUAUUCAAUUGUCAGAGGUGAAAUUCUUGGAUUUAUUGAAGACUAACUACUGCGAAAGCAUUUGCCAAGGAUGUUUUCAUUAAUCAAGAACGAAAGUUAGGGGAUCGAAGACGAUCAGAUACCGUCGUAGUCUUAACCAUAAACUAUGCCGACUAGGGAUCGGAUGAUGUUAAUUUUUUAAUGACUCAUUCGGCGCCUUACG
RNAcentral lists this ribosomal RNA (500 nucleotides) under uncultured Glomeromycotina. RNAcentral describes it as "partial small subunit ribosomal RNA". It matches the Rfam family "Eukaryotic small subunit ribosomal RNA", at positions 591 to 1092 of the family's 1831-position model. Lineage: Eukaryota; Fungi; Glomeromycota. The record is from RNAcentral.